Molecule: non-coding RNA, 495 nt
Organism: Salvia hispanica
Lineage: Eukaryota; Viridiplantae; Streptophyta; Magnoliopsida; Lamiales; Lamiaceae
Source: RefSeq, a predicted model, not a curated record
UAUAUAAACAUUAGAUUUUGUACAAAUCCAAAAAAAUGGUUCAAACAAGAAUUGAAAGUAUGGCUCUUUUAUUAUUGAUGGUUCUUCUAAUUUCCUCACAAGUUGCAGAUGCUCGAGUUUCAUAUAAAGAAGGUGAGAAGAUGAUGAGAAGUUAUGCACGUUUUCGGUGCCCCCAUGGAUGUUGUAAUAUUGGUGCUGUUGCGGAUGCUGAUUCCAGUGCUCCUCGUACAGCCAUAGCAGCCGGGCCUCCCCCAUAUUGUCGCUGCUGCCUGUAACCCAAUAAUAGCCCUAGAUGAGUUAUCAUCUCUACCAAACAUUACUCUGGUAUAUUAGCUUGAUGUAUUUUUAUGUAAAAUUAAGGUGUUAAAAUAAAUAAAUACUAGUACUCAAACUGUUCAAUUUACUUUGAAAUUAAUGAGCUGUUGCCUGAUUUUGAUAUGGCUUACCUGUAAAUUGAAUGAGUUGGACUAAUUAACCGAUAUUUUUCUUGUUAAA